GACAGAGGUGCCAAGCGUUAGGCGGAAUCACUGGGCUUAAAGCGUGUGUAGGCGGACUCGUAAGUACCUUGUGAAAUCCCACGGCUCAACCGUGGAACUGCUUGGUAUACUGCUUGUCUUGAGCCACUUAGGGGCUGUCGGAACAAACGGUGGAGCGGUGAAAUGCGUAGAUAUCGGAAGGAACACCGGUGGCGAAAGCGGCGCGCUGGACCUCUACUGACGCUGAGGCGCGAAAGCCAGGGGAGCAAACGGG
RNAcentral lists this ribosomal RNA (253 nucleotides) under uncultured bacterium. Its description in RNAcentral is "partial 16S ribosomal RNA". It matches the Rfam family "Bacterial small subunit ribosomal RNA", at positions 524 to 776 of the family's 1533-position model. The record is from RNAcentral.